Molecule: long non-coding RNA, 731 nt
Filed under: Salvia miltiorrhiza (redroot sage)
Lineage: Eukaryota; Viridiplantae; Streptophyta; Magnoliopsida; Lamiales; Lamiaceae
Description: long non-coding RNA (SMIL_LNC009692)
Source: RNAcentral
CGUUGUUUUUAGGACGAAGGGAGGGAGUAUUAUUUACGAAAUUCCAUAGAUAGUGUUGCUGUGCAACUCGCAAGAAGUCUCAUCAUUUUUACAUUUAAAUUUUAUUUGGAAAAAGGUGAGUAAAAAAUGCAGUUAGGUUAAUUGAUGAAUGUAAUAAAUCAAGGGACCACAAAAGGAAAAAAAGUAAGAGAAAAAAAUAAAAAUGAAAAAAAAAAGUGCAGAAUCCAUAUUUAUGCGGUUAAGGAUGAGGUGGUCCAGAUUCGUGAAUGAUCUUAAAUAUGAGAUUAUCUCAAUCUGGAAUUUUUCAAAUGAUGGAUGCGUUCAUUAUUUCAAUUUUGGGACGCGUAUUUGACCUAAUUAAGGAACCCACUCCCACUUUAACUCAUUCUCUUUCUUUACGUACAAUGCUCCCAAAUAAAAAUCAUGCCCCAAAUUAAUAUUUGAUAUCUCCCAUUUUCAGCUAAGCCCUAUUGCUACCAAUCACCAGCUGUGACUCUAUCCUUACCCCACCCCCACACCUAUAUGUUUUCAAUUCUUUUUUUUUUCCAAUUUUCAUUUCUUGUGUUUUGGAAACUUUUUUAAUUAUUACCUACUCUUAUUUAUGAUAUGUUUCUUUUCAUGUUGUGUGUAAUGAGAUAUGAAGGAACUUACAACACCACGUAUUAUUCCGCGUUGCUUAAUUAGUUUUUAAUUUCUACUUUAUGCUGCACUCGUUGAUUUUCUAAAUUCUA